GAUGAACGCUGGCGGCGUGCCUAAUACAUGCAAGUCGAGCGAACGGACGAGAAGCUUGCUUCUCUGAUGUUAGCGGCGGACGGGUGAGUAACACGUGGAUAACCUACCUAUAAGACUGGGAUAGCUUCGGGAAACCGGAGCUAAUACCGGAUAAUAUUUUGAACCGCAUGGUUCAAAAGUGAAAGACGGUCUUGCUGUCACUUAUAGAUGGAUCCGCGCUGCAUUAGCUAGUUGGUAAGGUAACGGCUUACCAAGGCAACGAUGCAUAGCCGACCUGAGAGGGUGAUCGGCCACACUGGAACUGAGACACGGUCCAGACUCCUACGGGAGGCAGCAGUAGGGAAUCUUCCGCAAUGGGCGAAAGCCUGACGGAGCAACGCCGCGUGAGUGAUGAAGGUCUUCGGAUCGUAAAACUCUGUUAUUAGGGAAGAACAUAUGUGUAAGUAACUGUGCACAUCUUGACGGUACCUAAUCAGAAAGCCACGGCUAACUACGUGCCAGCAGCCGCGGUAAUACGUAGGUGGCAAGCGUUAUCCGGAAUUGUUGGGCGUAAAGCGCGCGUAGGCGGUUUUUUAAGUCUGAUGUGAAAGCCCACGGCUCAACCGUGGAGGGUCAUUGGAAACUGGAAAACUUGAGUGCAGAAGAGGAAAGUGGAAUUCCAUGUGUAGCGGUGAAAUGCGCAGAGAUAUGGAGGAACACCAGUGGCGAAGGCGACUUUCUGGUCUGUAACUGACGCUGAUGUGCGAAAGCGUGGGGAUCAAACAGGAUUAGAUACCCUGGUAGUCCACGCCGUAAACGAUGAGUGCUAAGUGUUAGGGGGUUUCCGCCCCUUAGUGCUGCAGCUAACGCAUUAAGCACUCCGCCUGGGGAGUACGACCGCAAGGUUGAAACUCAAAGGAAUUGACGGGGACCCGCACAAGCGGUGGAGCAUGUGGUUUAAUUCGAAGCAACGCGAAGAACCUUACCAAAUCUUGACAUCCUUUGACAACUCUAGAGAUAGAGCCUUCCUCUUCGGGGGACAAAGUGACAGGUGGUGCAUGGUUGUCGUCAGCUCGUGUCGUGAGAUGUUGGGUUAAGUCCCGCAACGAGCGCAACCCUUAAGCUUAGUUGCCAUCAUUAAGUUGGGCACUCUAAGCUGACUGCCGGUGACAAACCGGAGGAAGGUGGGGAUGACGUCAAAUCAUCAUGCCCCUUAUGAUUUGGGCUACACACGUGCUACAAUGGACAAUACAAAGGGCAGCGAAACCGCGAGGUCAAGCAAAUCCCAUAAAGUUGUUCUCAGUUCGGAUUGUAGUCUGCAACUCGACUACAUGAAGCUGGAAUCGCUAGUAAUCGUAGAUCAGCAUGCUACGGUGAAUACGUUCCCGGGUCU
RNAcentral lists this ribosomal RNA (1372 nucleotides) under uncultured bacterium. Its description in RNAcentral is "bacterial SSU rRNA". It matches the Rfam family "Bacterial small subunit ribosomal RNA", at positions 28 to 1381 of the family's 1533-position model. The record is from RNAcentral.